AUCCUCACCUCGGUCAGUAGCAAUGUUCCCUUUUCACCAUACAAGAAUUCCACCUACAACUGGAAAAAAAAUGUUGCGACCCAAGCGCGAACGCCCCCCACCCAGUCCAUCAGGCGCCCCCGGUACCGUGCACGCGUGAUUGGCUGAAUGAGAAGCAGCAGCCGGAACCUUCGCAGCAACCCGCAGAAGACGACCGCCGCCGCCACCACAAGCGGCGACAUCAUCACAAAGCCGAGAAUGAUGAGGGCCGAGCUGCUGUUGUCGUCAAGGGGCAGUCAGGCUGUUGAAGAGGAUCCGGUUUGGUGGCUGCAGGAUUGGGUCUCUGCUUUUUCCUUGUCCUGACGGCUUCAUCUGGCCAGGAUCUUCAGCUCUCACUGGAUCGGUUCGCAGCCGAAUGUGAAGCGACUGGGAUGAGAAUCAGCACCUCCAAGUACGAGUUCAUGGUUCUCGCUCGGAAAAGGGUAGAGUGCCAUUUCUGGGUUGGGAAGGAGACCCUGCCCCAUGUGGAGGAGUUAAAGUACCUCGAAGUCUUGUUCGCGAGUGAGAGAAGAGUGAAUCGUGAGAUUGACCGGUGGAUCAGUGCAGCGUCUUCAGUAAUGCAGACGCUGUAUCGAUCCAUAAUGGGUAGGAAAGAGCUGAGCCAAUCGAUUUACUUUCCCAAUCUCACCUACGGUCAUGAGCUUUGAGUUAUGACCGACAGGACAAGAUCACGGGUACAAGCGGCCAAAAUUUGUUUCCUGCGCCGGGUGGUGGGUGUCCCCCUCAGAAAUAGGGUGAGAAGCUCUGUCAUCCGGGAGGAGCUCAGAGUAAAGCCGUUGCUCCUCCACAUCGAGAGAAGUCAGAUGAGGUGGUUCGGGCAUCUGGUCAGGAUUCCACGUCAACGCUUCCCCAGGGUGGUGUUUAGGGCACGUCUGACUGUUAAGAGGCCACGGGGAAGACCCAGGACACGUUGGGAAAACUUUGUUUCCCGGCUGGCCACGGAAUGCCUCGGGAUCCCCCUGGGACAAAGUGGCUGGGUAGAGGGAAGUCUGGGCUUCUCUGUUUAGACUGUUGCCCUGGCCACCCGACCUCGGAAAAGCGGAAGAAGAUGGAAGGAAUGGAUGGACUCUAAAAUCAUGCUGAUUAAAAAAGCAGAGUCUUUAAAAGGUGUCCAGGUAUUAACUUUUUUGACACAAACAAGUUUUGAAAGACGGGUUGUAUUCUCAGGGAAUUCAAUUGGUCGCAACUGGACUUUUUGGUUUGUCUUAGAAGACGUUUGGCCUCUCAAUGGAAUAGGCUUCACCAGUUCAUUCUCAUAGACUUAGCUUGGUCAAGACAAACCAAACAGUCCCGUUGCGAUCGAUUGAAUGCCCUGGGAGGACAAUCACCUGGAUGAAUGAGAACAUUCAUAGUUGUCUUAUAAUCAGCUGUCAUAUAUACAGUCUAAUAUAGGUAGAGGUAUGUUUGCCCGAUUGUGGACUACUUGGGGAUACCAAUGUGUGUGAAAUGAUGCUGCACAAUUCCUGUCGCUCACACUGGAAACGCGGGUGCCAAAGUGGCUGCAAGCUGUGCAUAACGAGGCAGGAAGUCUCGUCGCAAUUAACAUUGUUACAGCUCACUUGAUUGCCAACUCAAUUCCAAUCAGGUCGCUUUUGAGGUUUUCGUAUUUGGUUUGACAUUUGCAGAAGACACAAUUAAUAGUCCAGUCAUAGGGUUUUUAACGCCGCUUGUUGUGAUUUCCAGGCCAACAGGCUAACCACUUUUAUUGAAUAUAUCAUUUUCUACCAAAGACAAGUCUAUCGGAACAAGGAGAGUGAUGACAACGUUUCUUAGUCGUCAAGGUGAAGUUCUUCAAAGGAGGCAAAGAGUGGUCCUUCUGCCCUUCUUAAUAACUCCUAGUAUCUCUUCCAACUAUCUUGAAACAGUAUCAAUAUCAAAGAUGUGAAACUUGCAAAGACCACCGGAGAAACACGAGACCAGUCAGGAAUAUUUCAAAGCUGUCCAUGAUUGGGGUCUGUGUUCUAAUUCCCUCGGUUUUUCAUCUAUUGUCGUUCCCUGACUCACAAAUUUGAAAUCACAGAAGCGUGAUUAACUCGGAGCAACGCUAGGAUGAUCCCGAUGAGCGUAUAUUUAGUGCCUUACUCGUGUUUAUUGCCCACUGAGACGUCCUCCAAACCCCCACACGGCAGUGAAAUAUGUCGGCUUGUUCGAGGACAAGGCUGUCAAUCUUCACAGGAGGACGUGACAGCAGGACUCAGGUAGAACUGUUUUUAUUGGUCCCUGAGGUGGACACCAGAAGCAAAGUGCACGGCGUGAAACACGUAGAAUACAAGUAGAUCAUUUAUGUUGACACUGUGUGAUGGAAGCUUCAUAGCACAGCGUCAUUGCAUCAUCACAUGCCGUUGUCAUGGUAGCAGUGAGCCGAAAUGUAGUUGUGUUGAUAUAACAAAAAUAUCAUGUAAAAUAAGUUACAUAUUGACCCGAAUAAAAGACUGCCUUUGACCCCUUGGAACAGGGGUCAUCAACACAUGCGGCUCUUUAGCGGCGCCAUGAUGGCUCCAUGGAGCUUUUUAAAAAAUGUGUGGAAAUAGAAGGAAAAUGCUUUGAAAAAUAUGUUUUUUGUUAUAAUAUGGUUUCUGUAGGAGGACAAACACGACACGAGCAACGUUUUGUCCUACUAAUGUCAGCGGCCCUUGAACUCAACGUUGUGUGGACUGUGACUCAACAGUUUGUUUGCAUGUACAGCUUUCUCCAACGCUGCCACAGAAAGACGUGUUUUAUGCCACUCCUUCCUUAUCUCAUUUUGUCCACGAAACGUUUUAUACUGUGCGUGAAUGCACAAAGGUGAGCUUUGUUGAUGUUAUCCUUUUGUGUUUAGUGCUAAUGAGGCAUAUUUGGUCACUGCAUGACUGCAAGCUAAUCGAUGCCAACAUGUUAUUUAGGCUAGCUGUAUGUACAUAUUGCAUCAUUGUGCCUCAUUUGUAGCUAUAUUUGAGAUCAUUUAAUUUCCUUUUCCCAUGUGUAUUUAGUUAUUUUUCCAUGGUUCGUGACACAUUAGCUGUAUGUAAUAUUGGCUGCAUUUCUUAUAGUUGUUUGUGCGCAAUGUUGUUCCGGACCAAAGCAAAUAUUACCCAGCUUGCAAAGAUUGUAAUAAAUCCAUUAGAAGAAGACAGCCUGACGUUUUCUUUAAUUUGGACAUACACAUCUAUACCUUUGGCCAUUCUAAGGAGUUAUCACACAUUCUCAGAAGUUUUACUAAUGUUUUCUAAUGUUGUAAAAAUGUAUUGAAUAAAUAUUCCAUUUCAACAUUUCUGUCAAAGAAGAUUUGUA
Nerophis ophidion (straightnose pipefish) is the source of this 3309-nucleotide long non-coding RNA. RefSeq lists it as uncharacterized. Lineage: Eukaryota; Metazoa; Chordata; Actinopteri; Syngnathiformes; Syngnathidae. The transcript is spliced from 3 exons. The record is from RefSeq and is a predicted model, not a curated record.